This 192-nucleotide ribosomal RNA is filed under the name uncultured bacterium. Its description in RNAcentral is "partial 16S ribosomal RNA". It matches the Rfam family "Bacterial small subunit ribosomal RNA", at positions 337 to 520 of the family's 1533-position model. The record is from RNAcentral.
UCCUACGGGAGGCAGCAGUAGGGAAUCUUCCGCAAUGGACGAAAGUCUGACGGAGCAACGCCGCGUGAGUGAUGAAGGCUUUCGGGUCGUAAAACUCUGUUGUUAGGGAAGAACAAGUGCUAGUUGAGUAAGCUGGCACCUUGACGGUACCUAACCAGAAAGCCACGGCUAACUACGUGCCAGCAGCCGCGG